Molecule: long non-coding RNA, 362 nt
Organism: Bradysia coprophila
Lineage: Eukaryota; Metazoa; Arthropoda; Insecta; Diptera; Sciaridae
Source: RefSeq, a predicted model, not a curated record
ACAUAUACUGUUCUCGAUUCAGAAACUUUUUACUAUAUAAAGGGAUUGAUUUGUAUGAUAAAAGUUAUAAGCAUUAAAAAUGUCCAAGUUACAACUUACUAUUCUGAUCGUUAUUGGUUUCGUAGCAGUGCUACAGAAAGUGAAUGCAACCGCUCCUGGAGCAGGCUCAUGCACUGGAAUUGGAUAAUGCACUGGAUCAGCUUCUGGUGCUGGUGCCGGCUCAUGCACGGGCGAUAGAUCGUGCAGUGGUGAUAAUUCGGGUGCUGGUGGUGGAUCUUGCACAGGGGCAGACUCCUGCAAGGCAGCCGGAAGUGGCAGCGAAGCUGGUACUUGCACUGAACCCAAUUCGUGUGCUUAAACGA